This 360-nucleotide ribosomal RNA is filed under the name uncultured bacterium. RNAcentral describes it as "bacterial SSU rRNA". It matches the Rfam family "Bacterial small subunit ribosomal RNA", at positions 28 to 402 of the family's 1533-position model. The record is from RNAcentral.
GACAAACGCUGGCGGCGUGCCUAAGACAUGCAAGUCGGACGGGAGCUUCGGCUCUAGUGGCGGACGGGUGAGGAACGCGUGACUGACCUGCCUUUUGGUGGGGGAUACCAGCCAGAAAUGGCUGUUAAGACCGCAUACGACCGCGGGGGUAGACCCUGUGGGGAAAGCCGCAAGGCGCCGAAAGAGGGGGUCGCGUCGGAUUAGCAGUUGGUGGGGUAACGGCCUACCAAGGCGGUGAUCCGUAGCNGGUCUGAGAGGACGGCCAGCCACACUGGGACUGAGACACGGCCCAGACUCCUACGGGAGGCAGCAGUUAGGGAAUUUGUCAAUGGGCNCAAGCCUGAACGAGUGACGCCGCGU